Molecule: non-coding RNA, 914 nt
Organism: Pimephales promelas (fathead minnow)
Lineage: Eukaryota; Metazoa; Chordata; Actinopteri; Cypriniformes; Leuciscidae
Source: RefSeq, a predicted model, not a curated record
AACCUGACACACCAUACUCAAGUGCGGAAGCCUGGCUAAAACCUGCACAGGUGUUAACUUGAACCACAGCAUGAAAAGGAGCAGAAUGCCCAUCAUCGAGACUCAACCAGAUGAACGUGCAUUUGUGAACGUUGAAGAGGUGCUUUCAGUUUGAGAGCUGAAAAAUGCAGCAAACGGAGACUUGCCAGAGGCUCCUAUCUUCAGCCCGGUCAAGUAUAGGAAGUCUCAACUCAUCUACUAUGAUUGCCCUUGGCUGGUUCAAAGCUUCAGAUUGUUUACCAGAUCCAGGCUGCAUCUUUAGGAGUGUGAAGUUGCUAUGUGAAGGUUUAGGCUUUUGGGAGACCCUCCUCUCAACCCCGUGUUGACAGCCCAACCUGAGUGCUGCGCAUGGCCUGCCCAAGGCAAGACCACAGGCGACGCAUCUCUCCUGUGGGCCUCCUUCAGGAUCCUCCAUACCUCACAUCGCCACCUCCUUCCCACCGUCUGCUUGUAGAAGGUAUAGAAAAGAUUUAUUUGGGGGUGUCCUCAGGCAUCCAGGUUUUCAGAUGCCACCCCAUGCCACUGCCAUAAUGUUAAAUGACUAUUUUUGGAGUGCAAAUCUCAACUAUGUGACUUUCCGCUCACUGCACUAAUGCACCGUGACUGCUGGGUUUCUAAGGGAGGUUCGAGAGAGUAAUACAGGGAGGGGGGUGUACCUUUAGUUAACUGCAAGACACGUAUACCAGACUGCCGCUUUACCACCAUCCACCCCACUACAUUUCUUGCUGUUUUUUUCCCUCUGUUUUUGUGUCUGAGUCCUGACUAUCAACAUUAAUGAGACGUUCUUCAGCUGGCUGGAUUCACAAAGGAAAGGAGAAUUACGCUAAUGCAGUCUGUUUGAAGAUGCUCCUGAUGGGAUCCCCAGUGAAAGGAAG